Molecule: non-coding RNA, 829 nt
Organism: Pelobates cultripes (western spadefoot toad)
Lineage: Eukaryota; Metazoa; Chordata; Amphibia; Anura; Pelobatidae
Source: the annotation of a GenBank genome assembly
AGGAGGAGAGCUCCUCGCCCGGUACUGGAGAAAGAGGUAAGUUUAACCCCUUCCUCUCCCCAGAGUCUGGCGGGAGGGGGUCCCUGAGGAUGGGGGGACCCUCAGGGCACUAUAGUGCCAGGAAAACGAGUAUGUUUUCCUGGCACUAUAGUGGUCCUUUAAGGCUAUCCAACAAUUCUCCUUAACUUUAUCCAGAAUGUGUUAGAGCUACAUUGCUAAAGUCAUGGGAUUAGCUGGGUUAAUCCUUAACAUUAGAAUUGAUGAAGAAUUUCACAUUUUGGGCCAAAGUAGUUGAACUGUAAGCAUUGUCGACUUUUUUUUUCAAUUUGACUCUUUUGGCCUUAAAUUUAAAAUUCAACUUUGAAUUUUCACUAGUAAACAAUUCUGUAUGAACGCAACAACCGCUCAAGAGCCGCAGGCUAUCCCUGCUCUAAAUUUAUGGGUUUUCUUUUUUACUAAACUCGUUAUUGUCGUGAAUUAAAAUCCAAAUUGCAAAUUUGAGGCUAAAAUAGCUAAUCUGAAAAAAUAUCAAACUCAGCUAUAGCCACUGUUUGGCUAUUUUAGUUCUAACAUUAAAAUGUGGGUUGCAAUGUGCUAUCGUUUGGGGUUUAGUGAAAAACUCUAAUAUCUGCUGCUAUCAGCAUCUUUAUCAAAACUAUAUGUUAUAAAUAGCUGGUUUGAGGGCAAGAUCAUUGCUAUCUUUGUGGAAGCAGCUGAUUCGAUUAUGUUUUCAGUUUGGUGAGUGCAAACUAAAUUUGAGAUUCAUUUUUAAUUCAAUUUUAAAGUCCCAGCAAAUAAAAAUGUAAAAUAUGUUGCUCAAAUAUUUUAU